Molecule: non-coding RNA, 611 nt
Organism: Pelobates cultripes (western spadefoot toad)
Lineage: Eukaryota; Metazoa; Chordata; Amphibia; Anura; Pelobatidae
Source: the annotation of a GenBank genome assembly
GAAGGCCCGACCUUGUAUUGGGGAUGGGGUAGAUUAACCUAAAAAGAGGGGGGGGGGUGGUCUUGGACGUUUCUAGUGGUUUGCUAGUCAUCUGUGUGGUUAUCCCACGGUUCCCACACCUUUGUGAAAGCUUUCAUGGUGCCUCGUAUUUGGGCCGUCAGUUUGUCCAUGAGGUGACACUCUUUGAUCUUGUUGAGUACUGCGGUCAUUGGGGGGGAAAUGCAUUUUCAAUGCUUUCCUAUGGAGAGCUCUAAUGAGCAUGCACAUUAGGUUUCCUCAGCCAGCAGGCGGGAUUAGUCUCGCCCACCAGCUGACGGAAUCACUGGGAGGAGCGGCGGCAAGAGGAAACCACUGCCAAGGGACAUCAGCGGGGUCUCAGGUAAGUGACUGAAGGGGUUUUCACCCCUUCAGCUACCGGGGGAUGGGUGGUGGGAGGGAGAGGGGACCUGCAGUGCCAAGAAAACGGAUUGUUUUCCUGGCACUGGAUAUUCCCUUUAAGAACCCUUUACCCUGUUCUGUUACAUAGUUUUCACUAGACCCGUGGGGAUAGCCAAAGUCAGUUUAUCCUUCUCCACUCAGUCUCGGAGAGUUUCCCGAUCUCCAUGUGUUCC